This 467-nucleotide ribosomal RNA is filed under the name uncultured bacterium. RNAcentral describes it as "partial 16S ribosomal RNA". It matches the Rfam family "Bacterial small subunit ribosomal RNA", at positions 28 to 507 of the family's 1533-position model. The record is from RNAcentral.
GAUGAACGCUGACAGAAUGCUUAACACAUGCAAGUCAACUUGAAUUUGGGUUUUUAACUUAGGUUUGGGUGGCGGACGGGUGAGUAACGCGUAAAGAACUUGCCUCACAGCUAGGGACAACAUUUGGAAACGAAUGCUAAUACCUAAUAUUAUGAUAAUAGGGCAUCCUAUAAUUAUGAAAGCUAUAAGCGCUGUGAGAGAGCUUUGCGUCCCAUUAGCUAGUUGGAGAGGUAACGGCUCACCAAGGCGAUGAUGGGUAGCCGGCCUGAGAGGGUGAUCGGCCACAAGGGGACUGAGACACGGCCCUUACUCCUACGGGAGUCAGCAGUGGGGAAUAUUGGACAAUGGACCGAGAGUCUGAUCCAGCAAUUCUGUGUGCACGAUGAAGUUUUUCGGAAUGUAAAGUGCUUUCAGUUGGGAAGAAACAAAUGACGGUACCAACAGAAGAAGUGACGGCUAAAUACGUG